Molecule: ribosomal RNA, 490 nt
Filed under: uncultured bacterium
Lineage: Bacteria
Description: bacterial SSU rRNA
Rfam family: Bacterial small subunit ribosomal RNA
Source: RNAcentral
GAACGCUGGCGGCAGGCUUAACACAUGCAAGUCGAACGGUAACAGGAAAUAGCUUGCUAUUUUGCUGACGAGUGGCGGACGGGUGAGUAAUGCUUGGGAAUUUGCCUGAUGGUGGGGGACAACAGUUGGAAACGACUGCUAAUACCGCAUAAUGUCUACGGACCAAAGGUGGCCUCUAUUUAUAUGCUAUCGCUAUCAGAUGAGCCCAAGUGGGAUUAGCUAGUUGGUAAGGUAAUGGCUUACCAAGGCGACGAUCCCUAGCUGGUCUUAGAGGAUGACCAGCCACACUGGAACUGAGACACGGUCCAGACUCCUACGGGAGGCAGCAGUGGGGAAUAUUGUACAAUGGGGGAAAACCCUGAUGCAGCCAUGCCGCGUGUGUGAAGAAGGCUUUCGGGUUGUAAAGCACUUUCAGCGAGGAGGAAAGGGUGUUGCUUAAUACGUAACACCUGUGACGUUACUCGCAGAAGAAGCACCGGCUAACUCCGUG